This 478-nucleotide ribosomal RNA is filed under the name uncultured bacterium. RNAcentral describes it as "partial 16S ribosomal RNA". It matches the Rfam family "Bacterial small subunit ribosomal RNA", at positions 28 to 523 of the family's 1533-position model. The record is from RNAcentral.
GACGAACGCUGGCGGCGUGCUUAACACAUGCAAGUCGAACGGUAAGGCCCUUCGGGGUACACGAGUGGCGAACGGGUGAGUAACACGUGGGUGAUCUGCCCUGCACUUCGGGAUAAGCCUGGGAAACUGGGUCUAAUACCGGAUAGGACUCCGGACUGCAUGGUCUGGGGUGGAAAGCUUUUGCGGGGUGGGAGGGGCCCGCGGCCUAUCAGCUUGUUGGUGGGGUGAUGGCCUACCAAGGCGACGACGGGUAGCCGGCCUGAGAGGGUGACCGGCCACACUGGGACUGAGAUACGGCCCAGACUCCUACGGGAGGCAGCAGUGGGGAAUAUUGCACAAUGGGCGCAAGCCUGAUGCAGCGACGCCGCGUGAGGGAUGACGGCCUUCGGGUUGUAAACCUCUUUCAGCAUCGACGAAGCGAAAGUGACGGUAGGUGCAGAAGAAGGACCGGCCAACUACGUGCCAGCCGCCGCAGUAA